UAAUCAUCUGUCUGGCAAGCUUUAUUACCGGUAGCAGACGUCAAUUUUCUCUCAUGAGACCCACCAUGCUGUUUAAAGCCUUUACACUUCAGACUUGUUAUUGUCAGAAAUUGAGGCUGCUGCAGUGGAGCUAGAACGUCUAAUGUGCCCAGCUAGGAGGCCCUGUCAGAUAAAGUUGUUUGGCUGGACGGCCCAUUCAACGUGCACACAGCAAUGCGUGGUCGGUUCAUGGAUAUACGAAAUUUUUUUCCCCAAACGACCCCAUUUGGCAUAGACGAGACACGGGAGACUCACACACUCACCAACAAAAAAUAAAGGAAGAAGAUGGGUAUGUUGUACGGGGUAACAUAAAGCCAAAAGGAAAUAAUAAAUAAUAAUAAACAA
This is a long non-coding RNA of Daphnia magna, 384 nucleotides long. RefSeq lists it as uncharacterized. The record is from RefSeq and is a predicted model, not a curated record. The transcript is spliced from 2 exons. Lineage: Eukaryota; Metazoa; Arthropoda; Branchiopoda; Diplostraca; Daphniidae.